UGGGGAAUAUUGGACAAUGGGGGCAACCCUGAUCCAGCAAUGCCGCGUGUGUGAAGAAGGCCUGCGGGUUGUAAAGCACUUUCAGUGGGGAAGAAAAGCACAGGGUUAAUACCCCUGAGUCUUGACGUAACCUACAGAAGAAGCACCGGCUAACUCCGUGCCAGCAGCCGCGGUAAUACGGAGGGUGCGAACGUUAAUCGGAAUUACUGGGCGUAAAGCGCGCGUAGGCGGUCUCGUAAGUCGAAUGUGAAAGCCCUGGGCUUAACCUGGGAAUUGCGUUCGAUACUGCCUGACUAGAGUACGGUAGAGGGAAGUGGAAUUUCCGGUGUAGCGGUGAAAUGCGUAGAUAUCGGAAGGAACACCAGUGGCGAAGGCGACUUCCUGGGCCAGUACUGACGCUGAGGUGCGAAAGCGUGGGGAGCAAACAGGAUUAGAUACCCCCGUAGUCC
RNAcentral lists this ribosomal RNA (449 nucleotides) under uncultured prokaryote. RNAcentral's name for it is "bacterial SSU rRNA". It matches the Rfam family "Bacterial small subunit ribosomal RNA", at positions 355 to 796 of the family's 1533-position model. The record is from RNAcentral.